CCUACGGGUGGCAGCAGUGGGGACUAUUGGGCAAUGGGCGCAAGCCUGACCCAGCAACGCCGCGUGAAGGAAGAAGGCUUUCGGGUUGUAAACUUCUUUUCGCAGGGACGAAGCAAGUGACGGUACCUGUAGGAUAAGCCACGGCUAACUACGUGACAGCAGCCGCUGUAAUACGUAGGUGGCAAGCGUUAUCCGGAUUUACUGGGUGUAAAGGGCGUGUAGGCGGGACGGCAAGUCAGAUGUGAAAACCACGGGCUCAACCUGUGGCCUGCAUUUGAAACUGUAGUUCUUGAGUACUGGAGAGGCAGACGGAAUUCCGAGUGUAGCGGUGAAAUGCGUAGAUAGUAGGAGGAACACCAGUGGCGAAGGCGGUCUGCGGGACAGCAACUGACGCUGAGGCGCGAAAGCGUGGGGAGCAAACAGGAUUAGAUACCCGUGUAGUC
Molecule: ribosomal RNA, 443 nt
Filed under: uncultured bacterium
Lineage: Bacteria
Description: partial 16S ribosomal RNA
Rfam family: Bacterial small subunit ribosomal RNA
Source: RNAcentral